Molecule: non-coding RNA, 111 nt
Organism: Neohortaea acidophila
Lineage: Eukaryota; Fungi; Ascomycota; Dothideomycetes; Mycosphaerellales; Teratosphaeriaceae
Source: the annotation of a RefSeq genome assembly
UCUCGGAUGGUGCAGCUGGAAGCAUUCCCACCCGUCUUUGUCGCGCCUGGUGAAUAUCAGGCUCGUUCGUAUCGUGCGUGGGAGACCGAAGUUCAAUUCUUCGUCCGAGAG